Molecule: long non-coding RNA, 246 nt
Filed under: Gossypium barbadense (sea-island cotton)
Lineage: Eukaryota; Viridiplantae; Streptophyta; Magnoliopsida; Malvales; Malvaceae
Description: long non-coding RNA (GBAR_LNC018013)
Source: RNAcentral
AGGGAGCUCUCCUUUUUACCAAUCCCCACCAACGUAUGGGUUUCAAACACCGUCGCCAUUCCUGAUGUAAACACCUCCACAUACACUAUUAUUUGAAGGUGGAUCAUCGUCCCAAGUCUGACAACCAGAUGCAAACCUGGAAGAACCAGAAUCCCCACCGGAGGAACAACAACCGCCGCCGGAAGCUAGAGAAAGGAGGAAUCCAGCGCGUAACCAUCGACGGCCGCCAUAUGGCACUGAAUCCCC